UGGUUAGAGAUAUCCUCCCAAGGGCCC
This 27-nucleotide non-coding RNA is filed under the name Mus musculus (house mouse). The record is from RNAcentral. Lineage: Eukaryota; Metazoa; Chordata; Mammalia; Rodentia; Muridae.